UGUGAGGAAUUGGAAGAAAAAAAGAGCAAACAAAAAAUAAUAGAGAAUUGAAAAUGGUACCAACAAAGUGUAUUGUGUUCAGCUUUGUAGUCAUAAAGGGCCCCCUCACUUGAGUCUCAGGUUAAUCUUUAUUGACAUCGUCAAUAUUCUAGAACAUAUUAGAGAUUCUAGGACAUGAAAUGACCUUCCCAAGGUCACACAUAAAGUGGUUGGGACCAUGACUAGAACCUAGCCAACUGACUACAGAUGUGCUGUUCUUGAAAAUGAAAGACAUACCCCAAAUACUCUGCAGUAUUCCCACCUCAUCCAUGGGCUGCUUUCUUAUGGUGUUAAAGACAGCAAGAAGCAAACUUGGAGCAAACCCUACUUCAUCUCUGCCUUGUCUCCCAUGAAAAGUGUCAUUAAAUUGCAUUUGAUACUGUU
Molecule: long non-coding RNA, 423 nt
Organism: Suricata suricatta (meerkat)
Lineage: Eukaryota; Metazoa; Chordata; Mammalia; Carnivora; Herpestidae
Exons: 2
Source: RefSeq, a predicted model, not a curated record